CGAUGUCGAGCGGGAGAGUCCCCGGAAGGGGCGCCGAAGGAGCAACUCCUCCCCGGAAUCUCUCAGGCACAGCUACCGCCCGACGCAG
Molecule: non-coding RNA, 88 nt
Filed under: Saccharothrix espanaensis
Lineage: Bacteria; Bacillati; Actinomycetota; Actinomycetes; Pseudonocardiales; Pseudonocardiaceae
Also listed under: 1 other name
Description: Glycine sequence
Rfam family: Glycine riboswitch aptamer
About the family: This family represents the bacterial glycine riboswitch. Glycine riboswitches usually consist of two metabolite-binding aptamers domains with similar structures in tandem.
Source: RNAcentral